This 81-nucleotide transfer RNA is filed under the name Perca flavescens (yellow perch). It matches the Rfam family "tRNA". Rfam says of the family: Transfer RNA (tRNA) molecules are approximately 80 nucleotides in length. Their secondary structure includes four short double-helical elements and three loops (D, anti-codon, and T loops). Further hydrogen bonds mediate the characteristic L-shaped molecular structure. tRNAs have two regions of fundamental functional importance: the anti-codon, which is responsible for specific mRNA codon recognition, and the 3' end, to which the tRNAs corresponding amino acid is attached (by aminoacyl-tRNA synthetases). tRNAs cope with the degeneracy of the genetic code in two manners: having more than one tRNA (with a specific anti-codon) for a particular amino acid; and 'wobble' base-pairing, i.e. permitting non-standard base-pairing at the 3rd anti-codon position. The record is from Rfam by way of RNAcentral. Lineage: Eukaryota; Metazoa; Chordata; Actinopteri; Perciformes; Percidae.
GCUGUGAUGGCUGAGUGGUUAAGGCGUUGGACUUGAAAUCCAAUGGGGUUUCCCUUUGUAGGUUAAACCCUACUCACAGCG